This 440-nucleotide ribosomal RNA is filed under the name uncultured bacterium. Its description in RNAcentral is "partial 16S ribosomal RNA". It matches the Rfam family "Bacterial small subunit ribosomal RNA", at positions 338 to 795 of the family's 1533-position model. The record is from RNAcentral.
CCUACGUGAGGCAGCAGUGGGGGAUAUUGCACAAUGGGGGAAACCCUGAUGCAGCGACGCCGCGUGAGUGAAGAAGUAUUUCGGUAUGUAAAGCUCUAUCAGCAGGGAAGAAAAUGACAGUACCUGACCAAGAAGCCCCGGCUAACUACGUGCCAGCAGCCGCGGUAAUACGUAGGGGGCAAGCGUUAUCCGGAUUUCCUGGGCGUAAAGGGUGCGUAGGUGGUUUGGCAAGUUAGUAGCGUAACUCCAAGGCUCAACCUUGGAACUACUACUAAAAUUGUUGGACUUGAGUGCAGGAGGGGCAACCGGAAUUACUAGUGUAGCGGUGGAAUGCGUAGAUAUUAGGAGGAACACCAGUGGCGAAGGCGGGUUGCUAGACUGUAACUGACACUGAGGCACGAAAGCGUGGGGAGCAAACAGGAUUAGAUACCCCAGUAGUU